AGAAUCAACGCUGGCGGCGUGCCUCAGACAUGCAAGUCGAACGCGAAAGUUUCCUUCGGGGAGCGAGUAGAGUGGCGCACGGGUGAGUAACACGUAGGUAAUCUACCUUUGGAUGGGGAAUAACAACCGGAAACGGUUGCUAAUACCGCAUGAUGCAGCGGCACCUAAUGGUGACAGUUGUUAAAGCGGGGGAUCGAAAGACCUCGCGUCUGAAGAGGAGCCUGCGGCGGAUUAGCUAGUUGGUAGGGUAACGGCCUACCAAGGCAACGAUCCGUA
Molecule: ribosomal RNA, 276 nt
Filed under: uncultured soil bacterium
Lineage: Bacteria
Description: partial 16S ribosomal RNA
Rfam family: Bacterial small subunit ribosomal RNA
Source: RNAcentral